RNAcentral lists this ribosomal RNA (437 nucleotides) under uncultured bacterium. Its description in RNAcentral is "partial 16S ribosomal RNA". It matches the Rfam family "Bacterial small subunit ribosomal RNA", at positions 339 to 795 of the family's 1533-position model. The record is from RNAcentral.
CUACGGGUGGCUGCAGUGAGGAAUAUUGCACAAUGGGGGGAACCCUGAUGCAGCAACGCCGCGUGGAGGAUGACGCAUUUCGGUGUGUAAACUCCUUUUAUAUGUCAAGAAAAUGACGGUAGCAUAUGAAUAAGCACCGGCUAACUCCGUGCCAGCAGCCGCGGUAAUACGGAGGGUGCAAGCGUUACUCGGAAUCACUGGGCGUAAAGGACGCGUAGGCGGGUUGGAAAGCAGGUGUGAAAUCCUACAGCUUAACUGUAGAACUGCACUUGAAACUUCUAAUCUAGAGUAUGGGGGGGGAGAUGGAAUUAGUGGUGUAGGGGUAAAAUCCGUAGAUAUCACUAGGAAUACCUAAAGCGAAGGCGAUCUCCUGGAACAUUACUGACGCUAAGGCGUGAAAGCGUGGGGAGCAAACAGGAUUAGAUACCCGGGUAGUC